AUUGAACGCUGGCGGCAUGCUUUACACAUGCAAGUCGAACGGUAACAGGCCUUCGGGUGCUGACGAGUGGCUAACGGGUGAGUAAUGCAUCGGAACGUACCCAGAGGUGGGGGAUAACGCAGCGAAAGCUGUGCUAAUACCGCAUGUGAUCUGAGGAUGAAAGCGGGGGACCGAGCAGCAAUGUUUGGCCUCGCGCCUUUGGAGCGGCCGAUGUCGGAGUAGCUAGUUGGUGGGGUAAAGGCCUACCAAGGCGACGAUCCGUAGCUGGUCUGAGAGGACGACCAGCCACACUGGGACUGAGACACGGCCCAGACUCCUACGGGAGGCAGCAGUGGGGAAUUUUGGACAAAGGGCGCAAGCCUGAUCCAGCAAUGCCGCGUGCGGGAAGAAGGCCUUCGGGUUGUAAACCGCUUUUGGCAGGAACGAAACGGUGUCCGCUAAUACCGGGCGCUAAUGACGGUACCUGCAGAAUAAGCACCGGCUAACUACGUG
RNAcentral lists this ribosomal RNA (492 nucleotides) under uncultured bacterium. RNAcentral describes it as "partial 16S ribosomal RNA". It matches the Rfam family "Bacterial small subunit ribosomal RNA", at positions 29 to 507 of the family's 1533-position model. The record is from RNAcentral.